UAAUACAUCGGAACGUGCCCAGUAGUGGGGGAUAGCCCGGCGAAAGCCGGAUUAAUACCGCAUACGACCUACUGGUGAAAGCGGGGGAUCGCAAGACCUCGCGCUAUUGGAGCGGCCGAUGUCGGAUUAGCUUGUUGGUGAGGUAAAAGCUCACCAAGGCGACGAUCCGUAGCUGGUCUGAGAGGACGACCAGCCACACUGGGACUGAGACACGGCCCAG
This 220-nucleotide ribosomal RNA is filed under the name uncultured bacterium. RNAcentral describes it as "partial 16S ribosomal RNA". It matches the Rfam family "Bacterial small subunit ribosomal RNA", at positions 111 to 334 of the family's 1533-position model. The record is from RNAcentral.